Long non-coding RNA from Amphiprion ocellaris (clown anemonefish), 5146 nucleotides. RefSeq lists it as uncharacterized. The record is from RefSeq and is a predicted model, not a curated record. NCBI's taxonomy places the organism in Eukaryota, Metazoa, Chordata, Actinopteri, Pomacentridae. The transcript has 7 exons.
CGGCGGCACCCCAGAUGUAACCUGGAGGACGGAGUGCCGAGCUUCUUCGUUGCUGCGCAUUAUCUCCUGUAUUUUACAGAGGCGACCGCGGCUAAUGAAGCAGCAGGAGGCGGAAACAAGGCAAUGCAUUGACAGCCAGAAGGCAGAGGAGAAGGCGAACUCGGCACGAUCAUCGCUGACGCUGAGCAGAUCCGACAGAAGAAACAACCGGACCAGGCAGAGAAACAACAGAGCUGAACAUGUUGGAGUCCGAGUGCGGGGAAAGGAGUGAAAGGUUGGUCGAUGAGCUGCAGAACACGAGUGGAAAAACAGCAAAGAAAAAAUGAGAAAGCCCUACGAGUAUCCGACCUGUCUGCUAUGAUGACCAUUAAGGCUGGGCCGGUGGUGCCGGUGGGCCUGCUGCUUCCCUGCUUACGUCCCCGUUGCACCACAGUGAGCUCGCUGGCCUGGAGCCGCUAACAAGCUGUGCAUUCAGACAGUUGAUGCUACAAAUGGAGCUGUGCACUGGACCAACUCUGGAGAUGAACAACUGAAGCGCUGCUGAAUCCCCUCGGCAAGGGAGGGAGCAAGACCUCCCACUCUCUGCAGACGAAGCUGAAACUGGGUCUGACUUUCAUUUAUCUCCGAUGCAUGAAGACUCUUGUGUCACUCUUGCAGCCAGCAGCAGAUGAUUUGUUUCUGCAGGCAGACAGAUGGAAGAAUGAGGCAGCCAGGAUUCUCUCAGCAGGCGGAUGUUGGCGACCCAAACCCAACAGCUUCACACUGAACCUGUAUGUCCAAGACAAGGUGGAGGCAUGUUAAAAAGGGGAGUUGGUGAAAAACGCUGUCAUGUAAUAACACAAGGAAGCUUUUGAAACUCUUUUUUGGAUCAGCUCAGUCAUUGUUACUGCAAAAAUGUAAGAAUGAGGAUGUGGUCGUAAAAACAAUUGUUUGGAAAUAUUUUGCUACAGAGAGGAUGAAGUUGACCACAAACACGUUCCCUGUAGUGUCAAUGAGACUAAUUUGAUGAGUGCUAAGUCAGAUCUGAAUGCCAUCCAAAUUAAAAAUAUCAUUUUGGAUCUGUUUGCCAGUGUUGCACCAUAUGCAAAGGGUCUUAAACAGCAGAGAGAAUCACCGGUGCGAUAACUUUUCACCUUGCAGAAGUCGUGUUACCGGUUAGGACAGUUAGCAAACAUGAUCCAGUGGCAUAGCACACCUGUUUUUGUUAACUGCCAUCCCAGAGCUACAUGAAAAAUCAAGUCCUGAUAGAUAUUAUUCAGCUACAACAGACUUGUGGUCCAGUUUGACUAUGGAGCUCUACAUAAGUUUGACCGUCCACUGUAUUAAUGAGGAAAAACACCUGAAAAGUUGCUCUUUGCAUUGUCAUCUUUACAGGAUGAUCAUGAAGCCAGAACAUGUAGGUGAAGAAAAGCAAAACUUUGGCGUCUUGAGACCUCGAUGAAAGACAUGAAGUCUGUAUAACAACCAACGAUGUGGUGAACAAGUGGACCAGACUGUGCCUUGCAGUUGGACAGCGUCGCGUCUCCGAAUCCUCUCAAGGACAUCGUUUCUCCUCUUCUCCUCAAAGCUGCACAACUCCCAUUGCUGCACGGCGGGGAAAUUGUUUCAAUUAGCGUUACAGAGGUGUUUUUCAUUUGCUUUUGACUAGUUGGUUUUAUCAUCCGCUAUAAAGAUGAAGUGGGCAACACAAACAAGACUCAUUAUCAUCGGCGGCGCUCUGUGCUCUUAACUAUCCGCUCCUUCUUCCGUGCACUAUUUGUCUGUGUUUGCUGCCAUCUCCCUCAAGAUUGAACGCUUUGCAUUAAAAACUGGGCCACCCUGGCAGCCUGACAAAUGAAGGCAGUCGCAUGUUUGGAGACACCUCGUUCAACAGUUAUUGAAGUUGAUAACUUAUAAUUUGCAUAUAGAUAAGGCAUUCUUACCUAGACUAAAUCUUUAGCAUAUAAAGUAGAAUUGUGCUCUCUUUUUUGGGGGGUUUAUUUUUCUUCAAGUUGAAUUGUACUGACAAAAGCUGGCAUACAAUUUGAAGGUAGAUUGAUUCGAAUGUUUGGGUGCUGCUUAGAAUUUAGUGAAGGCAAGAAUGUCAGCGUGCCACUUGACAAUGUAAUUACAAAUGACAAAUACUCAUUAGACCUUAAAGAGGAUGCAAAAACAAAGAAAUGUGAGCUUUUUCUCUGUUUGGGAAGACAACAGCUACUGUGCAAUUACCCAGUCAGGCUGAAUUCAACCCGUAAACACGAGCGUUCCAGGAUGAAUCAUGCAUGAAUCAUCUAAUAAAGUAAUAAGCAGAGGAAGAAUUUUCUCACAUGCUGAAAAAAGGAGAAGUCGACGAAAUAUCAGCCACCUUUCUGGGAGCUUCAGUCCCCAGUUUCUGCUCCUAUAUUUAGCUAAAUGCAUGUUUAAUACUGCUAGUUUUCUCCUCUUGAAACGGGAAUUGCCCUCGAAAGAGAAAAAAAAUCACUGGGCGGGUUGUUGAGGAUAAGGAGCUCAUCAGACACUGCAGGGAUAAGCCUGGUUAAUACCCUGUGAACUAAACAUCACACUGUUAAUGCAGGCUGCCAUUUUACCGGCUGCCAGGGAUGAAGGAAUUGCCACCCAAGUGAAACUGUCAAGGAGAUAUAUAUAGGCAUAUAUAUCAAACCAUAUGUGUUUUUUUUUUCUCUGAAAUACACCCUGUGCUGAGAUGUUGGCUCUAAUGGACUGUGUGUGCUUUAUUUGUUAGAAAAAUACCACAUUUCACACAAUACAUUAAUGCUAUUAUCAGGAUUAAAGCUCCAAUUAAAUUGUGUCCAUGAAUGUUAAAUGCGAUUAAAAAGGUCACAGUCAUUUUUCUAUGUACGUGUAGAGUUACAUGUUGCUGCCAAGUGCAGACAUCUGUGAUGCAGAAGCAGGUUGGAUUUAGUGAAGGGUCUGCAGGGGUUUUUUUUUUGUUUUUUUUUAAAACUCAGGAUACGAUUGACUGCAAGAUUGUUAUUUCUGACAGUUUCUGCCUCUGAAAGUGUGAAAGCACUUUCUGUUACAGGCAGAUAAGUUGGAUGAAAUACUCCAGCACUACAAGAACUCCUUGAGUAUUCAAAGUAGGGAACAGAAAGAACACAAAGUUCUCGGAUAACUUUGGGAUGCAAUCAUUCAAUGUGAGAAUUAUUUUACAGCCAAUGCCCUUUAUUAUUGACUUUGACAUAAACAAACGUGAUGCAUUAUUCACCUUUUUCUUGUUUACAAUAAAGGCUGCCAUUAUUUUAGAGCACAGUUUAACUUGAAACACUUCAGUUUGACUGAAGCAGGUCUAAUAGGGUAGAUCGAACACUAAAGGAGCAGAUGAUUUAAAACGACAGUGAAAUGGUUAAAGGACAGAGCAAAGAGACAAGUUAAAUUAUGUUUGUGUGAACCCUAUUACAGGUGCAAACUUGACACAGGCCAAUUCAGGGUUUUUGCAUCAUCAUGUGCUGGCUGGUACAGAAUGUAGAAGUUGGUGUGCACACAAUUUUGUUCAUACUACAAUAAAUUCAUGUCAGACUGAUACGUAAAUGGUUGCAAACACACCCGGUUCUGUGGAAGCUUACAGCAGCUCAUUUCAGAUUAGGCUGUAACUCUGUGUUAGUAAUUAUUCUUGUGUGGCUGGACAGAACACCGGGUAUCUGGAGAUUUUAGAACUUCUCACUGUUUGGCUUUUGGUAACAGGAAUCAUGUAGAAAUCAAAACGUUUGUAGGUCUUAUGGCGACUACUUAAAUUAUAACUCUGUCAGUGAUGAAUUAACCCUUCAUUGAAUUUUAUUUGAAUAUCCAAUUAUUGAAGUUUGCACUUUGGUACAACUGUUGUUUACAGAUUCAGCUGUAACAACAUGUCUGUGAUUAUUCUGGUCUGGGUGGAAAGAGCACAGGGUAUCUGGAGAUUUUAGAACUUCUCACUGUGUCGCUGUCCUGUAACUCUUGCAGUGACUGCUUGGAUUACAACUCUGUCAUUGAGGAAUUAAUCAUUCAUUCAACCUUUAUUUAAAUCUCCAGGAGCCUUGGAAGUUUGCACUUUGAUACAGCAGCUGGUUACAGACUCCACCGUAACACUGUGUCAGUGAUUAUUCUUGUGGGGGUGGACAGAACCUAGGAUAUUUGUAGAAAUCAAAGUCCAUGUAAGACUCGCAGCAACUAUUUCAAUUACUAUUCUGUCAGUAAUGAAAUCUUUACCUAUUCAAUAUUUAUUUAAAUCUCUAGGAAUCAUGAAUGAAAUUUUCAAAUCACUUUAUUGUUAUUGUACAAUGAAAUUCUGUUUGAUAUACUCAUAUUAAAACAGCGGAUGAAAACUAAAAACAAACAGGCAAUAAAACCAACAAACAAAAAACAUGUAGUUUAAGAAAAUAUUCAGUAUUCAGUUAUAGCAGCCACAUCAGUGAAGUGCAAAAUUUUAAAGUGCAAACGGUGUCUCGCUUCUUACGUUCUGGGAAAUGUGUAGGGGAUGUUCUCAUUUACAUUAAUGCCGAGAGUACAAUCAACAGAAUAAACAGGCAACACUCAACAAGAGAGCAAACAACAGAAUACAGUUACAAGCAGUUACAUUCAAACACAUUGUAACACAAACAUGGUCAACAAAGUGUGACUGCUUUCUCUGUCAGUGCAUAGAAGUAUGUGUUUGCACUUAUGCAGACCUCUGACUAUAAUAGAAGAAGGUUUAUACAUCCAGUAAACAGAGUCAAACAUUAACAUUCAUUUGAAGUUGUCUGUCUGACCACUUAAUGAUUUUACCUCCCUUAUUUACACACCCUUUGUUGCUUGAGAUCCCAACAUCUGUUUUUGUUAUUUCGGUCCUACAUUCCCUCCUUUGUUCAUCAGCUGGUUGCUGGCUGUGUUGUGGUGCUGAGCAGGUUGGAUACACCGGGUUUAUCAGAGUUUCUUCUUCACUGGAAACAGCUGCCUGCCUCAUCUGGAACUAAUGAGAGCAGUGACACCAUAUCAAAACAAUUAGGUUCAGGGCCAUAAAGCCAAAACAAUGCGCUGAAUAAAGCUAAUGGGCUCCACGGAGCUAAGAGGAACUGCAGCAUCACAACUCUCUGACUUCAUCCACACUUUAUUGAUCAGUAGUUACUAUGAAAGUAGUGAUUGCUCACUCUGAAAUUCCACUAGCUAAAUAGCUUUCUUCAAAUACACCAGCAAA